Molecule: ribosomal RNA, 460 nt
Filed under: uncultured bacterium
Lineage: Bacteria
Description: partial 16S ribosomal RNA
Rfam family: Bacterial small subunit ribosomal RNA
Source: RNAcentral
CCUACGGGAGGCAGCAGUGAGGAAUAUUGGUCAAUGGGCGCGAGCCUGAACCAGCCAAGUAGCGUGAAGGAUGACUGCCCUACGGGUUGUAAACUUCUUUUAUAAAGGAAUAAAGUGAGGCACGUGUGCCUUUUUGUAUGUAUUUUAUGAAUAAGGAUCGGCUAACUCCGUGCCAGCAGCCGCGGUAAUACGGAGGAUCCGAGCGUUAUCCGGAUUUAUUGGGUUUAAAGGGAGCGUAGGUGGGUUGUUAAGUCAGUUGUGAAAGUUUGCGGCUCAACCGUAAAAUUGCAGUUGAUACUGGGAGCCUUGAGUGCAGUAGAGGAAGGCGGAAUUCGUGGUGUAGCGGUGAAAUGCGUAGAUAUAACGAAGAACUCCGAUGGCGAAGGCAGCUUACUAAACUGCCACUGACGUUGAGGCUCGAAAGUGUGGGUAGCAAACAGGAUUAGAUACCCCGGUAGUC